GCCACCGAAUACAUUAGCAUGGGAUAAUGGAAUAGGACCCUGUCCUCCUAUUUUCAGUUGGUUUUGGCAGCGCGAGGACUAGGGUAAUGAUUAAUAGGGAUAGUUGGGGGCAUUAAUAUUUAAUUGUCAGAGGUGAAAUUCUUGGAUUUAUGAAAGAUUAACUUCUGCGAAAGCAUCUGCCAAGGAUGUUUUCAUUAAUCAAGAACGAAAGUUAGGGGAUCGAAGACGAUCAGAUACCGUCGUAGUCUUAACCAUAAACGAUGCCGACCAGCGAUUAGGAGACGUUGAAUACAAAACACCACCAUCGGUUGCGGUCGUCCUUGGCGUCUCGGUUUCGGCCGGGGCGCGGGGAUGGCUUAGCCCGGUGGCACCGGUGAAUGACUCCCCUAGCAGCUUGUGAGAA
RNAcentral lists this ribosomal RNA (403 nucleotides) under Acanthamoeba genotype T4. Its description in RNAcentral is "SSU rRNA". It matches the Rfam family "Eukaryotic small subunit ribosomal RNA", at positions 791 to 1096 of the family's 1831-position model. Lineage: Eukaryota; Discosea; Longamoebia; Acanthamoebidae. The record is from RNAcentral.